GAUGAGAAGCUUCGACUAAGGUUCGGCUCGAGCGUCAGCGAGAGAGCGUUGCCGCAGGCAACGACCCGAAGGGCGAAGCGCGCAGCGCUGAGUAAUCCUUCCCCCACCACCA
Molecule: small RNA, 112 nt
Filed under: Escherichia coli
Lineage: Bacteria; Pseudomonadati; Pseudomonadota; Gammaproteobacteria; Enterobacterales; Enterobacteriaceae
Description: partial RtT sRNA
Rfam family: RtT RNA
About the family: This family represents a bacterial cis-regulatory element known as RtT RNA. The exact function of RtT is unknown although it is thought that it may be involved in changing the cellular response in relation to amino acid starvation.
Source: RNAcentral